UACGGGGGGAGCAAGCGUUGUUCGGAUUUACUGGGCGUAAAGGGCGCGUAGGCGGUUCAUUAAGUCGGUUGUGAAAUCCCUGGGCUUAACCUGGGAACUGCAGUCGAUACUGGUGAACUAGAAUGCGGUAGAGGGUGGCGGAACUCCGGGUGUAGCGGUGAAAUGCGUAGAUAUCCGGAAGAACACCGAUGGCGAAGGCAACCACCUGGGCCUGCAUUGACGCUGAGGUACGAAAGCGUGGGGAGCAAACAGG
This 253-nucleotide ribosomal RNA is filed under the name uncultured bacterium. RNAcentral describes it as "partial 16S ribosomal RNA". It matches the Rfam family "Bacterial small subunit ribosomal RNA", at positions 524 to 776 of the family's 1533-position model. The record is from RNAcentral.